AAGAGUAGGCGCAGCGGUUGCGGAACAGUUCCAAGCAGCUGUUCUGAGGAAAGUCCGGACUCCCGAAAGACCAAACUUGCUGGGUAACGCCCAGUACGAGCGAUCGUGAGGAUAGUGCCACAGAAACAUACCGCCGAUGAAUGAGGAGCGAGGAGUGAGGAGUGAGGAGCGAGGUACAAAUUAAACCCUAGCCCCUAACCCCUAACUCCUAGCCCCUCUUACAGGUAAGGGUGCAAAGGUGCGGUAAGAGCGCACCAGCAGCGUCGAGAGGCGCUGGCUCGGUAAACCCCAGUUGGGAGCAAGGUCGGAGGAACUAUGGUUGGUCUUUUACCAGUUCCGCUAUUGGAGAACCGCUAGAGGCGUCUGGUAACAGGCGUCCCAGAUAGAUAACCGCACUUCACUCACAGCAAUGCUGACGAGUGAACAACAGAAUCCGGCUUAUGUCCUGCUCUUUCCC
Molecule: RNase P RNA, 457 nt
Filed under: Gloeocapsa sp. PCC 7428
Lineage: Bacteria; Bacillati; Cyanobacteriota; Cyanophyceae; Chroococcidiopsidales; Chroococcidiopsidaceae
Description: Bacterial RNase P class A
Rfam family: Bacterial RNase P class A
About the family: Ribonuclease P (RNase P) is a ubiquitous endoribonuclease, found in archaea, bacteria and eukarya as well as chloroplasts and mitochondria.
Source: Rfam by way of RNAcentral